RNAcentral lists this ribosomal RNA (253 nucleotides) under uncultured bacterium. RNAcentral's name for it is "partial 16S ribosomal RNA". It matches the Rfam family "Bacterial small subunit ribosomal RNA", at positions 524 to 776 of the family's 1533-position model. The record is from RNAcentral.
UACGUAGGGUGCAAGCGUUAAUCGGAAUUACUGGGCGUAAAGCGUGCGCAGGCGGCUCUGCAAGACAGAUGUGAAAUCCCCGGGCUCAACCUGGGAACUGCAUUUGUGACUGCAUGGCUAGAGUACGGUAGAGGGGGAUGGAAUUCCGCGUGUAGCAGUGAAAUGCGUAGAUAUGCGGAGGAACACCGAUGGCGAAGGCAAUCCCCUGGACCUGUACUGACGCUCAUGCACGAAAGCGUGGGGAGCAAACAGG